RNAcentral lists this ribosomal RNA (1396 nucleotides) under Kocuria rosea. Its description in RNAcentral is "bacterial SSU rRNA". It matches the Rfam family "Bacterial small subunit ribosomal RNA". Lineage: Bacteria; Bacillati; Actinomycetota; Actinomycetes; Micrococcales; Micrococcaceae. The record is from RNAcentral.
CAAGUCGAACGAUGAUGCCCAGCUUGCUGGGCGGAUUAGUGGCGAACGGGUGAGUAAUACGUGAGUAACCUGCCCUUGACUCUGGGAUAAGCCUGGGAAACUGGGUCUAAUACUGGAUACUACCUCUUACCGCAUGGUGGGUGGUGGAAAGGGUUUUACUGGUUUUGGAUGGGCUCACGGCCUAUCAGCUUGUUGGUGGGGUAAUGGCUCACCAAGGCGACGACGGGUAGCCGGCCUGAGAGGGUGACCGGCCACACUGGGACUGAGACACGGCCCAGACUCCUACGGGAGGCAGCAGUGGGGAAUAUUGCACAAUGGGCGGAAGCCUGAUGCAGCGACGCCGCGUGAGGGAUGACGGCCUUCGGGUUGUAAACCUCUUUCAGUAGGGAAGAAGCGAGAGUGACGGUACCUGCAGAAGAAGCGCCGGCUAACUACGUGCCAGCAGCCGCGGUAAUACGUAGGGCGCAAGCGAUGUCCGGAAUUAUUGGGCGUAAAGAGCUCGUAGGCGGUUUGUCGCGUCUGCUGUGAAAGCCCGGGGCUCAACCCCGGGUCUGCAGUGGGUACGGGCAGACUAGAGUGCAGUAGGGGAGACUGGAAUUCCUGGUGUAGCGGUGAAAUGCGCAGAUAUCAGGAGGAACACCGAUGGCGAAGGCAGGUCUCUGGGCUGUUACUGACGCUGAGGAGCGAAAGCAUGGGGAGCGAACAGGAUUAGAUACCCUGGUAGUCCAUGCCGUAAACGUUGGGCACUAGGUGUGGGGGACAUUCCACGUUUUCCGCGCCGUAGCUAACGCAUUAAGUGCCCCGCCUGGGGAGUACGGCCGCAAGGCUAAAACUCAAAGGAAUUGACGGGGGCCCGCACAAGCGGCGGAGCAUGCGGAUUAAUUCGAUGCAACGCGAAGAACCUUACCAAGGCUUGACAUUCACCGGACCGCCCCAGAGAUGGGGUUUCCCUUCGGGGCUGGUGGACAGGUGGUGCAUGUGUGUCGUCAGCUCGUGUCGUGAGAUGUUGGGUUAAGUCCCGCAACGAGCGCAACCCUCGUUCUAUGUUGCCAGCACGUGAUGGUGGGGACUCAUAGGAGACUGCCGGGGUCAACUCGGAGGAAGGUGGGGAUGACGUCAAAUCAUCAUGCCCCUUAUGUCUUGGGCUUCACGCAUGCUACAAUGGCCGGUACAAAGGGUUGCGAUACUGUGAGGUGGAGCUAAUCCCAAAAAGCCGGUCUCAGUUCGGAUUGAGGUCUGCAACUCGACCUCAUGAAGUCGGAGUCGCUAGUAAUCGCAGAUCAGCAACGCUGCGGUGAAUACGUUCCCGGGCCUUGUACACACCGCCCGUCAAGUCACGAAAGUUGGUAACACCCGAAGCCGGUGGUCACGUAACCCCCUGUGGGAGUAGCCGUCG